GCUCUGGAGGAGGUUGACGACUCCGAAAUGGUGGAACUGAUGGACACCUGUGAUGAGACCUCUGCUGCAGCACCAGAACAAACAAAGGAGACUAGUCAAAACACCCCCUUUGAGCAGUUGGAACAGGCCAAAGUCCCUACUGAGGACAAGGAUGUACCAACUCUUCAACCAUCAGAGGGGAAGCAGAAAGAACCACCAGAGUUGAGUGUUCCACUUCCCCGGAGAGGGGAUGGCGAACAGGAAGAGGAGGAGGGGCCAGGGGCAGGUGAUGAUUGGCCCAUGACUAGGGUGUGAGAGGGCCAUCCCUAUGCAGGACACUGUGGAAGCCCUGGACAUCACUGAGGAAGGUUUGGAGACUCUGCUGUGCUACCUGGAGCUGCACUGUCAGCAGGGGGUAGAGCUGCUCCACCCCACCCUCUCCACCUGUAAGAUGGUCAGCUCUGCAAACUCACCUAGAUGUAGGGCAACAUCACAACACCCGGCUCAUGUUCAUUCAUUAGGGCACACCGUAUAUAUUUAUUUUUAAACUGUGUGCAUUUUCAGUUUGCAGAACCUCGACAAGUACUGCAAACUCACUCCGAACACCUGGCCAGUCUGUUACAGUAGACUGUUUACCUGUAAGAAACAAAGUCGUGUUGGAUAGGUUGUGUUUGUGUAUAGUAUGUAGGUGUGUAUUAUUUGCUCAUGUGACGUUUUUGUGGUCAAGUAAAGUCAGGUACGUUUGUCAUGUGGUUUGUUAUUUUCAUGUUCAGGCAAUAGAUUACUAAUGUUCACCAGGUGCUUCAACCGCUUUGCUGUAGAUAAGUAAUGUUUAUGGUGAGGGGUGUUGAUGAUUGGUGUGUGCCGUCUGAUUGGCAGCUGCCCACCUGUUGCCGUGGUGUUGGCCCGGAAAUGGAUGGCAGGGGAGGGAGUGGAGGCUUGUGAUUCACUGGGCUUUGACGUGGUGGAGGUGGCAGACACUAUGGGCUGGCAGCUGGGUCUGGUGAAGAGAGGUCUCAGACAACUACAAUGGGCCACAAACGGGAGUCUUGGUGGAGUUGUCCAACCUGUCCUUCAUAGGGUAUAUCCUGUCUUCCAGGAGUCUUGGUGGAGUUGUCCAACCUGUCCUUCUAUUUUCGUUCCUACGGUGACUUGACCCCGGACGAGAUGGACCGAGUGUGUCACACUGUAUGCCGCUCUGCAGUGUCUCAUACAAGAGCUGCACUUUCUGCACGGACGAGCGGCAAAGCCUGAAGCAGCAAGGGCUUCUGGGGGAUUACUUUGACAAGAGGAGAGACCUGGACCUGAGCAGGAAGUUCCAGGAAGAGAAGGAUGGAGAGGAUGAGGAGGUGUUGAUGAAAUGCAAG
Molecule: long non-coding RNA, 1346 nt
Filed under: Oncorhynchus kisutch (coho salmon)
Lineage: Eukaryota; Metazoa; Chordata; Actinopteri; Salmoniformes; Salmonidae
Description: lncRNA (ENSOKIG00005008575.1)
Source: RNAcentral